RNAcentral lists this ribosomal RNA (882 nucleotides) under Triticum aestivum (bread wheat). Its description in RNAcentral is "partial small subunit ribosomal RNA". Lineage: Eukaryota; Viridiplantae; Streptophyta; Magnoliopsida; Poales; Poaceae. The record is from RNAcentral.
AUGGCAAGCCGAGCUCUCACCCCCUUCCAGCUCGCUGCCAUCCUCUUGGUGGCGCUCUUCGCCACGUGCCAUGCUGGCAGCAUCGCUGUGUACUGGGGCCAGAACGACGGCGAGGUGUCGCUGGCUAAGACGUGCGCGUCAGGUAACUACAAGUUCGUCGUCGUUGCUUUCCUCCCCAAGUUCGGCAAGGGCCAGAAGCCGGAGCUGAACCUCGCCGGCCACUGCGACCCUUCGUCUGGCGGCUGCAAAAUCCUGAGCAAGGACAUCCACUCGUGCCAGCGCCGCGGCGUCAAGGUUCUCCUCUCCCUCGGCGGCGCGGACGGCAGCUACGGCCUCUCGUCCCGCGGCGAUGCACGCCAGGUUGCCAUGUACCUCUGGAACACCUACCUGGGCGGCACGAGGUCGUCGUCUCGCCCCCUCGGGGACGCCGUGCUCGACGGCAUCGACUUUGACAUCGAGAAAGGCGGCUCCAAGUUCUGGGGCGACCUCGCCAGGGACCUCAAGAGCUUGGACAAGAGCGUGCUGCUGAGCGCGGCGCCACAGUGCCCGUUCCCUGACCAGUGGGACGACGGCGCGAUCAGGACGGGGGUGUUCGACUUCGUGUGGGUGCAGUUCUACAACAACCCGGAGUGCCAGAUCAGCGCGGGCCGUGGAGCAUUCUUGGCCGCCUGGAAGAGAUGGGAGUCACUGCCGAUAGGGAAGCUCUUCCUGGGGCUGCCGGCUUCCAAAGACGCGGCGGGCACUGGGUUCGUGCCCGCCGGCAAGCUCAAGUCGGUGCUGCCGCUCAUCAAGGGCUCGCCCAAGUACGGCGGCGUCAUGCUGUGGGCUAAGUUCUAUGACGACCACACUGGAUACAGCUCCGCCAUCAAGAGCCACGUCUGA